CCUACGGGAGGCUGCAGUAAGGAAUAUUGGUCAAUGGAGGAAACUCUGAACCAGCCAUCCCGCGUGAAGGAUGAAGGGGCUCUGCCUUGUAAACUUCUUUUGUCUGGGGCGAAAAAGCUCGAUUUAUCGAGAACUGACGGUACCAGAAGAAUAAGCACCGGCUCACUCCGUGCCAGCAGCCGCGGUAAUACGGAGGGUGCCAGCGUUACCGGGAAUAACGGGUGUUAAGGCGGGUGAAGACGGCAGAGUAGAAAGGCUGUGGCUUAACCAUGGAAUUGCCAUUGAUACUGCAGAGCUUGAAUGAGGUUGAGGUUGGCGGAAUGUGACAUGUAGCGGUGAAAUGCUUAGAUAUGUCAUGGAACACCGAUUGCGAAGGCAGCUGACUGGACCUAUAUUGACGCUGAGGCACGAAAGCGUGGGGAGCGAACAGGAUUAGAUACCCCGGUAGUC
RNAcentral lists this ribosomal RNA (450 nucleotides) under uncultured bacterium. RNAcentral's name for it is "partial 16S ribosomal RNA". It matches the Rfam family "Bacterial small subunit ribosomal RNA", at positions 338 to 795 of the family's 1533-position model. The record is from RNAcentral.